This 547-nucleotide ribosomal RNA is filed under the name uncultured Basidiomycota. RNAcentral's name for it is "SSU rRNA". It matches the Rfam family "Eukaryotic small subunit ribosomal RNA", at positions 548 to 1098 of the family's 1831-position model. Lineage: Eukaryota; Fungi; Basidiomycota. The record is from RNAcentral.
UUGGAGGGCAAGUCUGGUGCCAGCAGCCGCGGUAAUUCCAGCUCCAAUAGCGUAUAUUAAAGUUGUUGCAGUUAAAAAGCUCGUAGUUGAACUUCAGACCUGGCUGGGCGGUCCGCUUAACGGCGUGUACUGUCUGGCUGGGUCUUACCUCUUGGUGAGCCGGCGUGCCCUUUAUUGGUGUGCGUCGGGGAACCAGGACUUUUACCUUGAGAAAAUUAGAGUGUUCAAAGCAGGCCUAUGCCUGAAUACAUUAGCAUGGAAUAAUAAAAUAGGACGUGCGGUUCUAUUUUGUUGGUUUCUAGAGUCGCCGUAAUGAUUAAUAGGGAUAGUUGGGGGCAUUGGUAUUGUGUCGCUAGAGGUGAAAUUCUUGGAUUGACACAAGACCAACUACUGCGAAAGCGUUUGCCAAGGAUGUUUUCAUUAAUCAAGAACGAAGGUUAGGGGAUCGAAAACGAUCAGAUACCGUUGUAGUCUUAACAGUAAACUAUGCCGACUAGGGAUCGGACGACCUCAAUUUUGAUGCGUCGUUCGGCGCCUUACGGGAAAC